Molecule: ribosomal RNA, 258 nt
Filed under: uncultured Anaerolineaceae bacterium
Lineage: Bacteria; Bacillati; Chloroflexota; Anaerolineae; Anaerolineales; Anaerolineaceae
Description: partial 16S ribosomal RNA
Rfam family: Bacterial small subunit ribosomal RNA
Source: RNAcentral
AGUUUACAUGUGUCUAACGGGACGUGCCCGGCUCAACUGGGAGGAAGGUGGGGACGACGUCAAGUCAGCAUGGCCUUUAUAUCCUGGGCUACACACACGCUACAAUGGUCGGUACAAUGGGUCGCCAAGCCGCGAGGCGGAGCCAAUCCUCCAAAACCGGCCUCAGUUCAGAUUGUAGGCUGCAACUCGCCUGCAUGAAGUUGGAGUUGCUAGUAACCGCGCGUCAGCUAUAGUGCGGUGAAUACGUUCCCGGGGCUU